GGCGAACGCUGGCGGCGUGCUUAACACAUGCAAGUCGAACGGAAAGGCCCUGCUUUUGUGGGGUGCUCGAGUGGCGAACGGGUGAGUAACACGUGAGUAACCUGCCCUUGACUUUGGGAUAACUUCAGGAAACUGGGGCUAAUACCGGAUAGGAGCUCCUGCUGCAUGGUGGGGGUUGGAAAGUUUCGGCGGUUGGGGAUGGACUCGCGGCUUAUCAGCUUGUUGGUGGGGUAGUGGCUUACCAAGGCUUUGACGGGUAGCCGGCCUGAGAGGGUGACCGGCCACAUUGGGACUGAGAUACGGCCCAGACUCCUACGGGAGGCAGCAGUGGGGAAUAUUGCACAAUGGGCGGAAGCCUGAAGCAGCAACGCCGCGUGCGGGAUGACGGCCUUCGGGUUGUAAACCGCUUUCGCCUGUGACGAAGCGUGAGUGACGGUAAUGGGUAAAGAAGCACCGGCUAACUACGUG
Molecule: ribosomal RNA, 468 nt
Filed under: uncultured bacterium
Lineage: Bacteria
Description: partial 16S ribosomal RNA
Rfam family: Bacterial small subunit ribosomal RNA
Source: RNAcentral